CCGGGAAACUGGGGAUAAUUCCGGAUAACGCAUAUGUGCUGGAAUGCUUUAUGCGUAAAAUGGAUUCGUCCGCCCAAGGAUGGGUCUGCGGCCUAUCAGGUAGUAGUGGGUGUAAUGUACCUACUAGCCGACAACGGGUACGGGUUGUGGGAGCAAGAGCCCGGAGAUGGAUUCUGAGACAUGAAUCCAGGCCCUACGGGGCGCAGCAGGCGCGAAAACUUUACAAUGCGGGAAACCGUGAUAAGGGGACACCGAGUGUCAGCAUCAUAUGCUGGCUGUCCAGGUGUGUAAAAUACACCUGUUAGCAAGGGCCGGGCAAGACCGGUGCCAGCCGCCGCGGUAACACCGGCGGCCCGAGUGGUGAUCGUGAUUAUUGGGUCUAAAGGGUCCGUAGCCGGUUUGGUCAGUCCUCCGGGAAAUCUGAUAGCUCAACUAUUAGGCUAUCGGGGGAUACUACCAGACUUGGAACCGGGAGAGGUAAGAGGUACUACAGGGGUAGGAGUGAAAUCUUGUAAUCCCUGUGGGACCACCUGUGGCGAAGGCGUCUUACCAGAACGGGUCCGACGGUGAGGGACGAAAGCUGGGGGCACGAACCGGAUUAGAUACCCGGGUAGUCCCAGCCGUAAACGAUGCUCGCUAGGUGUCAGGCAUGGCGCGACCGUGUCUGGUGCCGCAGGGAAGCCGUGAAGCGAGCCACCUGGGAAGUACGGCCGCAAGGCUGAAACUUAAAGGAAUUGGCGGGGGAGCACAA
RNAcentral lists this ribosomal RNA (751 nucleotides) under anaerobic methanogenic archaeon E30-7. RNAcentral describes it as "bacterial SSU rRNA". It matches the Rfam family "Archaeal small subunit ribosomal RNA", at positions 132 to 881 of the family's 1478-position model. The record is from RNAcentral.